RNAcentral lists this ribosomal RNA (254 nucleotides) under uncultured bacterium. Its description in RNAcentral is "partial 16S ribosomal RNA". It matches the Rfam family "Bacterial small subunit ribosomal RNA", at positions 524 to 776 of the family's 1533-position model. The record is from RNAcentral.
CACGUAGGGGGCAAGCAUUGUCCGGAUUUAUUGGGCGUAAAGAGCUCGUAGGCGGCUCGGUAAGUCGGGUGUGAAACCUCCAGGCUCAACCUGGAGACGCCACCUGAUACUGCUGUGGCUAGAGUCCGGUAGGGGAGUGUGGAACUCCUGGUGUAGCGGUGAAAUGCGCAGAUAUCAGGAAGAACACCAGCGGCGAAGGCGGCACUCUGGGCCGGAACUGACGCUGAGGAGCGAAAGCGUGGGUAGCAAACAGG